This 1245-nucleotide ribosomal RNA is filed under the name metagenome. Its description in RNAcentral is "bacterial LSU rRNA". It matches the Rfam family "Bacterial large subunit ribosomal RNA", at positions 1564 to 2817 of the family's 2925-position model. The record is from RNAcentral.
CGAGUCCGAGGAGCUAAGGCUCCAAAGUGAUGCGAGUCAGACUUCCCAGAAAAGCCCGAACCACGUUAAUUUCUAAUUACCUGUACCCGAAACCGACACAGGUGGGUAGGUAGAGUAUACUAAGGGGCGCGAGAUAACUCUCUCUAAGGAACUCGGCAAAAUGACUCCGUAACUUCGGGAGAAGGAGUGCCUUAUUUAUAAGGUUGCAAUAACAAGAUCCAAGCAACUGUUUAUCAAAAACACAGGUCUCCGCUAAGUCGUAAGACGAUGUAUGGGGGCUGACGCCUGCCCAGUGCCAGAAGGUUAAAGAAGUUGGUUAGUGUAUGCGAAGCUGAUGACUGAAGCCCUGGUGAACGGCGGCCGUAACUAUAACGGUCCUAAGGUAGCGAAAUUCCUUGUCGGGUAAGUUCCGACCCGCACGAAAGGCGUAAUGAUUUGGAUACUGUCUCGGAGAGAGGCUCGGUGAAAUAGACUUGUCUGUGAAGAUGCGGACUACCUGCACCAGGACAGAAAGACCCUAUGAAGCUUUACUGUAACUUGAAAUUGGAAUUGGACUUUGCUUGCGCAGUAUAGGUGGGAAGCGUUGAAGAUAUUCUUGCGGGAGUAUUGGAGCUAUCAGUGAGAUACCACUCUUGUAAUGUUAGAUUUCUAACUUUGAACCAUAAUCUGGUCAAAGAACAGUUUCAGGUGGGCAGUUUGACUGGGGCGGUCGCCUCCCAAAUGGUAACGGAGGCGUACAAAGGUUUCCUCUGAACGGAUAGAAAUCGUAUCUAGAGUGUAAAGGCAUAAGGAAGCUUGACUGUGAGACCUACAAGUCGAGCAGGGACGAAAGUCGGUCUUAGUGAUCUGACGGUACUGAGUGGAAAGGCCGUCACUCAACGGAUAAAAGUUACUCUAGGGAUAACAGGCUGAUCUCCCCCAAGAGUUCACAUCGACGGGGAGGUUUGGCACCUCGAUGUCGGCUCAUCGCAUCCUGGGGCGGUAGUACGUCCCAAGGGUUGGGCUGUUCGCCCAUGAAAGCGGUACGCGAGCUGGGUUCAGAACGUCGUGAGACAGUUCGGUCCAUAUCCGGUGUAGGCGUUAGAAUAUUGAGAGGAGCCUUCUUUAGUACGAGAGGACCGAGAAGGACACACCGCUGGUGUACCAGUUAUCGUGCCAACGGUAAACGCUGGGUAGCUAUGUGUGGAGUGGAUAACCGCUGAAAGCAUCUAAGUGGGAAGCCCACCUCAAGAUGAGUAUUCUCAC